This 422-nucleotide ribosomal RNA is filed under the name uncultured bacterium. Its description in RNAcentral is "bacterial SSU rRNA". It matches the Rfam family "Bacterial small subunit ribosomal RNA", at positions 355 to 774 of the family's 1533-position model. The record is from RNAcentral.
UAAGGAAUAUUGGACAAUGGAGGCAACUCUGAUCCAGCCAUGCCGCGUGAAGGAAUAAGGCACUAUGGGUUGUAAACUUCUUUUAGACGGGACAAAACCCCUUUACGUGUAAAGGGUUGAUGGUACUGUCAGAAUAAGCAUCGGCUAACUUCGUGCCAGCAGCCGCGGUAAUACGAAGGAUGCAAGCGUUAUCAGGAAUUAUUGGGUUGAAAGGGUGCGUAGGCGGACUAAUAAGUCAGUGGUGAAAGCCUGCAGCUUAACUGCAGAAUUGCCAUUGAUACGGUUAGUGUUGAGUACAGUUGAGGUAGGCGGAAUGUGUCAUGUAGCGGUGAAAUGCUUAGAUAUGACACAGAACACCGAUUGCGAAGGCAGCUUGCUAAGCUGUAACUGACGCUGAGGCACGAAAGCGUGGGGAGCAAACA